Heterocephalus glaber (naked mole-rat) is the source of this 1456-nucleotide non-coding RNA. The record is from RefSeq and is a predicted model, not a curated record. NCBI's taxonomy places the organism in Eukaryota, Metazoa, Chordata, Mammalia, Rodentia, Bathyergidae.
UCUUGGGUGUCUCCCCAAAGCCUGUGCUGGAAGGUGGUUGGAUCACAAGAGCACUGUACUCACCAGUGGGUUUGUCCAUUGAUGAGUUCAUAGCUGAGUUGCUAUGGGGAGGUGGGGUCUGGUUGGAAGAGGUGCAUCACCGGGGUGUGACCUGGAAGGAUCCAUCUUCUGUGCUUCCUGACCCCCAUGAUGUGAGCAGCUUUCCUCCACCCAGGACUUCCUGGUGCCGCCAAACAUAGCCAGAAACUUCUCAACUGUGAGCUGAAAUAAACUUCUCCUUUACGUUGUGGGUGUUGGGUAGUUUGUUCUAGCAGUGAGGAAAGUGAUGAAGAAGCUCUGCCUUUCCAAGGAAUAGGAAAAUGAUGUACUCCUAUGACUUAUAAAAAAGCAGCAGAACAAUGCCCUUUCACCAGCAUCCUCCUCCGGCAUCAUUUGUCAUUGGGUCAUGUGAAAGUGGGUAGUGACUCACUGAGGGCCGAAGUGAAGACAGCUGAAGAAUGUUCAGAGGCUCUAGAUAAGCUGAUUGUGAAGAAACUCACUUGCCGGAGCUGAGCUUCCAUAUGGACGAGAGCCUCCGGUCCACAAAGGGAUGCCUGAAAGGACUUCGUCCACAAGGAGGCCACGUCAGAUACAGGUCUCAGGGCUUUGAAUGACAGGGUGAUGACCUUGCUGGGGCAGUGCUGCAGGCUGCACAUUGAAGUCCUUCAUAAUCCAGCACCAUGAGGACCCCAGGGCUAUCACAUCUGUCAAUAAGCACACACUGCCAGGGUCUUACAGGAUCAGCAAGAAGUCAGGGGCCACCGUACUUCUCUUUCGAGACGCUUUUCUGAAGUGCUUUGCCAGCAAAACAGAAUAGCACGCUUUGGAGAAUAACACACUUUUCCGGAUCUUCUUUAUGGUUGACAAUGAUCUGAGGCCUCCUCCUUUACUGCCGAUCUUCAUCCCAAUAUCAAAGUGGUGUCUUUUUGACCCAGCUGAUGGAUCACAGUGCUAUAGCAGCUUCUGAAGUCUGCCACCUGAGGACCCCUGCCCAGGCCAGUGCAGCAGCCAGUGAGGACAUGUAGAUGACACAGAUGGAGCCUGGAAGAGUCACAGUGUGUCUGAGCGCAUCUAGCACCUGGCUUGGGUUUGAGGUGAUGUCACUGAAGAGCAUAGGAAUGGCACCCGGAAGAACACAUCCAGAGGUCCACACCGAGGAGGAGGCGGCUGCAGAGAUCAAAAAGUCUGUGGCUGUGAAAGAAACACCUUAACCUGUCUGGGGAUGAGGACCCAACUGAGGAGCCCCUGGAGGUAGGUCCCGAGGAGCUGCCUAAUGAGGAAUUGUGGGGCUGGACGAGGAAUGCAUAGCUGAAGAAGAGAACUGAAGGGCCGGGGAUUUAGCUCAGUGGUUUCGCUGGCGCCUGCUACGCAAGCACAAAGACCCAAGUUCGAUCCCCGGUACAAAAAAAAAAAAAAA